This 501-nucleotide ribosomal RNA is filed under the name uncultured bacterium. RNAcentral describes it as "partial 16S ribosomal RNA". It matches the Rfam family "Bacterial small subunit ribosomal RNA", at positions 29 to 523 of the family's 1533-position model. The record is from RNAcentral.
AUUGAACGCUGGCGGCAUGCCUUACACAUGCAAGUCGAACGGCAGCACGGGUGCUUGCACCUGGUGGCGAGUGGCGAACGGGUGAGUAAUACAUCGGAACGUCCCUUAUCGUGGGGGAUAACGCAGCGAAAGCUGUGCUAAUACCGCAUCCGCCCUGAGGGGGAAAGCGGGGGAUCGCAAGACCUCGCGCGAUUAGAGCGGCCGAUGCCUGCUCAGCGAGUUGGUGGGGUAAAAGCCCACCAAGGCGACGAUCAGUAGCUGGUCUGAGAGGACGAUCAGCCACACUGGGACUGAGACACGGCCCAGACUCCUACGGGAGGCAGCAGUGGGGAAUUUUGGACAAUGGGGGCAACCCUGAUCCAGCAAUGCCGCGUGAGUGAAGAAGGCCUUCGGGUUGUAAGGCUCUUUUGUCAGGGAAGAAACGCCGGCUCUAACACAGUCCGGGAAUGACGGUACCUGAAGAAUAAGCACCGGCUAACUACGUGCCAGCAGCCGCAGUAA